AAGGCAGGCUGAUAGCCGCCGAAUGUGUGAUUUCGUUCGGAGGAAAGUCCGGGCUCCGUAGAACAUGAUGCCGGGUAACGCCCGGGGAUCUUUCUACAAAGGUCACAGAAAGCGCCACAGAAAAAAACCGCCUGAUCGCCAGGCCUCUCGUCCACAUAAUUUAUUUGACCUAUUGUGUGGACGAGAGGUCGGGUGGUCGGGUAAGGGUGAAAAGGCGAGGUAAGAGCUCACCUUCUUUGCGGCAACGUAAAGAGAACGGCAAGCCUCAUCAGGAGCAAAGCCAAGCUGCGAGUGGGUUGUUCGCCCAAUUACUUGCUGGUAGACUGCGCGACCGUUCUAGUGAUGGAACGGCAAGAUAGAUGGCUAUCGCCUACACGGGCAUGCAAAUGUUCGGUAGGGACAGAACCCGGCUUAUACGCCUGCCUUUUUU
Molecule: RNase P RNA, 430 nt
Filed under: Spirochaetales bacterium
Lineage: Bacteria; Pseudomonadati; Spirochaetota; Spirochaetia; Spirochaetales
Description: RNase P RNA component class A
Rfam family: Bacterial RNase P class A
About the family: Ribonuclease P (RNase P) is a ubiquitous endoribonuclease, found in archaea, bacteria and eukarya as well as chloroplasts and mitochondria.
Source: RNAcentral